AGUGAACGCUGGCGGUAGGCCUAACACAUGCAAUUCGAACGGCAGCACAGUAAGAGCUUGCUCUUACGGGUGGCGAGUGGCGGACGGGUGAGGAAUACAUCGGAAUCUACUUUUUCGUGGGGGAUAACGUAGGGAAACUUACGCUAAUACCGCAUACGACCUACGGGUGAAAGCAGGGGAUCUUCGGACCUUGCGCGAUUGAAUGAGCCGAUGUCGGAUUAGCUAGUUGGCGGGGUAAAGGCCCACCAAGGCGACGAUCCGUAGCUGGUCUGAGAGGAUGAUCGGCCACACUGGAACUGAGACAGGGUCCAGACUCCUACGGGAGGCAGCAGUGGGGAAUAUUGGACAAUGGGCGCAAGCCUGAUCCAGCCAUACCGCGUGGGUGAAGAAGGCCUUCGGGUUGUAAAGCCCUUUUGUUGGGAAAGAAAAGCAGCAGGUUAAUACCCCGCUGUUCUGACGGUACCCAAAGAAUAAGCACCGGCUAACUUCGUG
Molecule: ribosomal RNA, 492 nt
Filed under: uncultured bacterium
Lineage: Bacteria
Description: partial 16S ribosomal RNA
Rfam family: Bacterial small subunit ribosomal RNA
Source: RNAcentral